RNAcentral lists this ribosomal RNA (429 nucleotides) under bacterium. Its description in RNAcentral is "partial 16S ribosomal RNA". It matches the Rfam family "Bacterial small subunit ribosomal RNA", at positions 355 to 776 of the family's 1533-position model. The record is from RNAcentral.
UAGGGAAUCUUCGGCAAUGGGGGCAACCCUGACCGAGCAACGCCGCGUGAGUGAAGAAGGUUUUCGGAUCGUAAAGCUCUGUUGUAAGAGAAGAACGUGUGUGAGAGUGGAAAGUUCACACAGUGACGGUAACUUACCAGAAAGGGACGGCUAACUACGUGCCAGCAGCCGCGGUAAUACGUAGGACCCGAGCGUUGUCCGGAUUUAUUGGGCGUAAAGCGAGCGCAGGCGGUUUAAUAAGUCUGAAGUUAAAGGCAGUGGCUUAACCAUUGUUCGCUUUGGAAACUGUUAAACUUGAGUGCAGAAGGGGAGAGUGGAAUUCCAUGUGUAGCGGUGAAAUGCGUAGAUAUAUGGAGGAACACCGGUGGCGAAAGCGGCUCUCUGGUCUGUAACUGACGCUGAGGCUCGAAAGCGUGGGGAGCAAACAGG